Molecule: ribosomal RNA, 250 nt
Filed under: uncultured prokaryote
Description: partial 16S rRNA
Rfam family: Bacterial small subunit ribosomal RNA
Source: RNAcentral
ACGGAGGAUGCAAGCGUUAUCCGGAUUUAUUAGGUUUAAAGGGUGCGUAGGCGGAGACUUAAGUCAGUGGUAAAAGGCAAUAGCUUAACUAAUGUAAGCCAUUGAUACUGGGUUUCUUGAGUUCGGUAGAGGUAGGCGGAAUGUGUUGUGUAGCGGUGAAAUGCAUUGAUAUAACGCGGAACACCGAUUGCGAAGGCAGCUUACUGGACCGUUACUGACGGUGAUGCACGAAAGCGAGGGGAGCAAACAG